RNAcentral lists this ribosomal RNA (441 nucleotides) under Pigmentiphaga daeguensis. RNAcentral describes it as "bacterial SSU rRNA". It matches the Rfam family "Bacterial small subunit ribosomal RNA", at positions 408 to 842 of the family's 1533-position model. Lineage: Bacteria; Pseudomonadati; Pseudomonadota; Betaproteobacteria; Burkholderiales; Alcaligenaceae. The record is from RNAcentral.
AUGAAGGCCUUCGGGUUGUAAAGCACUUUUGGCAGGAAAGAAAUCGCGCGGGCUAAUACCCUGCGUGGAUGACGGUACCUGCAGAAUAAGCACCGGCUAACUACGUGCCAGCAGCCGCGGUAAUACGUAGGGUGCAAGCGUUAAUCGGAAUUACUGGGCGUAAAGCGUGCGCAGGCGGUUCGGAAAGAAAGAUGUGAAAUCCCAGGGCUCAACCUUGGAAUGGCAUUUUUAACUACCGGACUAGAGUGUGUCAGAGGGGGGUGGAAUUCCGCGUGUAGCAGUGAAAUGCGUAGAGAUGCGGAGGAACACCGAUGGCGAAGGCAGCCCCCUGGGAUAACACUGACGCUCAGGCACGAAAGCGUGGGGAGCAAACAGGAUUAGAUACCCUGGUAGUCCACGCCCUAAACGAUGUCAACUAGCUGUCGGGCUCUUCGGGGCCUG